Olea europaea var. sylvestris is the source of this 729-nucleotide long non-coding RNA. RefSeq lists it as uncharacterized. The record is from RefSeq and is a predicted model, not a curated record. NCBI's taxonomy places the organism in Eukaryota, Viridiplantae, Streptophyta, Magnoliopsida, Lamiales, Oleaceae. The transcript is spliced from 2 exons.
UGAAAAACCUUGACUUUGAAGUAUUUCUGGCUCAAAAUACUAAGGAGAAAAACAAGAGUGAACAGGAGAAAGUAAAGAAAAUAUUUAUACAGGUUGAAAGGUGGGUCGAAGCGUGACUAUCAUCUCUCAUUCUCUCUCCUUACAAGAUUCGAUUCAGUCGCCGUUCUUUUACCCUAAUCUCUGUCCUCUCUCAAACACACACCAUAAUGUUCCCAGAUUCUUAAGCCCCGUUUCGAUUCGAUUGGAUAAAAUGCAGGACGACACACAGUUGGAUGACAAAGUAGUGCAGACAUUUCAGAAUAGUCUUGUACAAGUUCAAGAUAUACUGGAACAAAAUAGGCUGCUAAUCAAUGAGAUUAAUCAGAAUCAUGAGUCCAAGAUUCCUGAGAAGUUAAGUAGAAAUGUGGGAUUGAUUAGAGAACUCAACAACAAUAUUAGAAGAGUGGUUGGUUUAUAUGCUCAUCUCUCAACUUCUUUCACAAAAUCUGUGGAUGCUUCAUCCGAGGGAGAUUCAAACGGUCAUAAAAGGGCCAGGCCUGGUUAGAUUCAUAACAAGAAGUCCAGAAAAAUCAGUCCAUUUGUCUGAUCUUAAUUAUUUUACCCAUUGUCUAAUUAUUUUCUUGAAAUUGCUUGUUAAAACUUAAUAUUAGCUCAAACUAUGUAACUCGAGCAUGUUUUGUUUGUUGAAAUUUCUUGCUUCGUUUGUGUUUUAGAUGAUUUACUCUUUAA